CGUUAAAUGAACAAUUAAGGUGUC
Molecule: non-coding RNA, 24 nt
Filed under: Rattus norvegicus (Norway rat)
Lineage: Eukaryota; Metazoa; Chordata; Mammalia; Rodentia; Muridae
Source: RNAcentral